This 849-nucleotide long non-coding RNA is filed under the name Homo sapiens (human). RNAcentral's name for it is "HSALNT0195274". The stretch from base 485 to 796 matches the Rfam family "7SK RNA". The record is from RNAcentral. Lineage: Eukaryota; Metazoa; Chordata; Mammalia; Primates; Hominidae.
UUUAAUGUGUCAAGUUUAUUGUAUUUUUUCAUGAUAAAAAUAAUAAAACUCAUUGAAGUAUAUGUGAAAAAUAUAUAAAAGUUAAAGGAUAAAUAGCAGGUAUAUCUGAGAGGCACAAUUUCAGGGCAUGUUUGCUUCUGGUUUUCAAUAUGUAUGUUUUGGAGGACAAUUUUUUUUUUUUUACCACAUAUUGGUUUUGUUUUUGUGAUCCAGAAAAAGAAAGAAUUUGGAGUGUCAAUAAGAGCCCUUAUUGUAAUGCUUCUCUGACACAAUAGUGUCUAUAUAAUUACUCCGAUAUUGUAAAUGAGAAAACCGAGAGUCUAAUUUGCCCCGGUAUCCUACCGAGAAUAAAUGGCAGGGCCAGAAUUCAAACCCAGGUCUCCGUAACUCCAAAGUCAUGCUCGUAUCCAAUGUAUGUCACUGUCUCCCGAGGGUGGCCCUUUAGGUCAUCACAGAAACACUGUCCCCAAGGAUGACAACUCAAGGAUGUGAGGGCGACCUGGCUGCAACAUCUGCCACCCCAUUGAUCACCAGGGUUGACUUGGCUGAUCUGGCUGGCUAGGUGAGUGUCCCCUUCCUCCCCCACCACUCAAUGUGCAUUCCUCCCAAAGCUGCCCACACAGUCAAAGAAGAUGACUUUUACCGAUAGAAGAGGGCUGUUCUUAGCCAAGGGUGUAGGAGUAGCAGCUCUCCCCUCCUAGAACCUCCAGACAAGCCCUCCAGAAGCCUUACAAUGUGGUCUUCUGAUAGUUUUUAUAAUUCAGGCUUCUCAGACCAACUCAUCCUGAGUUUUGUUCCAAAGCAAAUGUUGCUUUAGCAAGAUUCUAGUGAACUUGGGGUCUAGUCUUC